GUUGGAUGGCAGAGAUUAUCAGGCGAUGUAUUGUGAUUCUAGUUUUUGCAAAUUUAGAUUGAUUUUGUUUUAGUAUUUUACCCAAUAGGGGAUUUUUGGUUCUGCCAAUCUUUUACCUCAAUUAGUUAUGUUUAGGAUCAAUUUACAUUGCAUUGGCUGUGUUUGAAUCAGUAGCAUACUAGUUAGAUUAUCUUGGUUUUAAUAAAUGAUUUUCAUUCUCUGCUUCCUUGUUUGUGACCCUACUGCAUAUUUUGCAUUAUUAGGAUAUAGUGGACAUGUUUCAUACAUUCUCAUUUGGAAUUCUUUGAGGUCUUUUUCUUCGUUUUAAAUAGCUAGGCACAUUCCAUUGCAUCAUUCUAAUAGUUUUAAGUUAUCAUGAACAUAAUUUGGGCAUGAAAACUACUGAUUGGUUAUUGGUGUCUGGUGUCCCUUCAACCUUUAAAUUUGGUCAUUAUAUGCUUUGGUCAUCAUAUGCUUUGGUCUCUAAUACAAACAUACUCAUCCCAGUACACACUCACACACCACCUCAUUAUAUCUCUCUUUCCUAUCCUUCCUUCUAGUGUACCCAUUUGAAUGUCUUCUCUCUCUCUUCUCUUUGGGUCCCCGCUCAAUCCAGAACCACUCUCUACCUAGUUUCUCUUCUUCCUAUAGCUACCAACG
RNAcentral lists this long non-coding RNA (660 nucleotides) under Vigna radiata. Its description in RNAcentral is "long non-coding RNA (VRAD_LNC001845)". The record is from RNAcentral. Lineage: Eukaryota; Viridiplantae; Streptophyta; Magnoliopsida; Fabales; Fabaceae.